ACGGAAGGCAGCAGUGAGGAAUAUUGGUCAAUGGGCGGGAGCCUGAACCAGCCAAGUAGCGUGAGGGAUGACUGCCCUACGGGUUGUAAACCUCUUUUGUUUGGGAAUAAAGGAGCCUACGUGUAGGCUUUUGCAUGUACCUUUCGAAUAAGCAUCGGCUAAUUCCGUGCCAGCAGCCGUGGUAAUACGGAAGAUGCGAGCGUUAUCCGGAUUUAUUGGGUUUAAAGGGAGCGUAGGCGGCCUUUUAAGUCUGCGGUCAAAUGUCAGGGCCCAACCUUGGCAUGCCGUGGAUACUGAUGGGCUCGAAUACACGCAAGGCAAGUGGAAUUCGUCGUGUAGCGGUGAAAUGCUUAGAUAUGACGAAGAACUCCGAUUGCGAAGGCAGCUUACUGGAGUGCGAUUGACGCUGAGGCUCGAAAGUGCGGGAAUCAAACAGGAUUAGAUACCCUGGUA
Molecule: ribosomal RNA, 453 nt
Filed under: uncultured Paraprevotella sp.
Lineage: Bacteria; Pseudomonadati; Bacteroidota; Bacteroidia; Bacteroidales; Prevotellaceae
Description: partial 16S ribosomal RNA
Rfam family: Bacterial small subunit ribosomal RNA
Source: RNAcentral